Chiroxiphia lanceolata (lance-tailed manakin) is the source of this 596-nucleotide long non-coding RNA. RefSeq lists it as uncharacterized. Lineage: Eukaryota; Metazoa; Chordata; Aves; Passeriformes; Pipridae. The record is from RefSeq and is a predicted model, not a curated record. The transcript has 2 exons.
AGCCGUGAUUAAUUGCCGGAGAGCACCGGGAGCACCGAUGGCGGCUCCGCGGCCGCGCUGCCCCCGGCGGGCACUAGGGGAGGCCCCGGGAUCACUUUUGAGAACGAGCCGAGGGUGAAGGAGCUGGGAAAGCUGGACCCAAGUGUCGAAUUCACUUCUUCCCUGAAGGGACUUUGAUAUCCUUCACUGGUGUUCGCGUGGUUUUAGAGACACACGUUAAUCAUCUCAGCUGGAGCAACAAAAGGAACGGAGGGAAAUUAAAAAAAAAAAAAAAAAAAAUGUUUCAGAGCCGAAGAGGCAGAAGUUGUGGAAACACAAGUAUUUUUGAAAGAACUUCUCCUAAAACCAGUGCGGAAGGCUGAGCCCACCUUCAGCAUCGUGAGCCGCUGAGGUUUACAUGCGCUCACAACAGCAAAAUUUUGAACAAAAACAGUAUGAAGGAAACGGGAGAGAAAAUUCUGAAGGAAGCAGGCCAUGAGCAGCACACCCCACUGAUCCUGGGGGGACAGGCUGGAUGGAUCAUUCCCACGGAAAAGGCAGCAGUCGAUUUUCUAAAGAAAAGGAAAAAUAAAGUUAUGUUUGAGCUUUCUUUGUAA